GCCAGGUAUGGUGGUGUGUGCCUGUGAUUCUAAGUUACUUGGGAGGCUGAGGCAGGAGGAUUGCUUGAGCCCAGGAAGUUGAGGCUGCGGUGGGCUGCGUUUGCAACACCGCACUCCAGCCUGGGCGACAGAGUGAGACCCUGUCUCUU
This 149-nucleotide non-coding RNA is filed under the name Gorilla gorilla gorilla (western lowland gorilla). The record is from Rfam by way of RNAcentral. Lineage: Eukaryota; Metazoa; Chordata; Mammalia; Primates; Hominidae.